ACGGGUGAGUAACACGUGAGCAACCUGCCCUGGACUCUGGGAUAAGCGCUGGAAACGGUGUCUAAUACUGGAUAUGAGCUCUCACUGCAUGGUGGGGGUUGGAAAGAUUUUUCGGUCUGGGAUGGGCUCGCGGCCUAUCAGCUUGUUGGUGAGGUAAUGGCUCACCAAGGCGUCGACGGGUAGCCGGCCUGAGAGGGUGACCGGCCACACUGGGACUGAGACACGGCCCAGACUCCUACGGGAGGCAGCAGUGGGGAAUAUUGCACAAUGGGCGGAAGCCUGAUGCAGCAACGCCGCGUGAGGGAUGACGGCCUUCGGGUUGUAAACCUCUUUUAGCAAGGAAGAAGCGAAAGUGACGGUACUUGCAGAAAAAGCGCCGGCUAACUACGUGCCAGCAGCCGCGGUAAUACGUAGGGCGCAAGCGUUAUCCGGAAUUAUUGGGCGUAAAGAGCUCGUAGGCGGUUUGUCGCGUCUGCUGUGAAAUCCCGAGGCUCAACCUCGGGCCUGCAGUGGGUACGGGCAGACUAGAGUGCGGUAGGGGAGAUUGGAAUUCCUGGUGUAGCGGUGGAAUGCGCAGA
Molecule: ribosomal RNA, 578 nt
Filed under: Microbacterium sp. BvORHM057
Lineage: Bacteria; Bacillati; Actinomycetota; Actinomycetes; Micrococcales; Microbacteriaceae
Also listed under: 1 other name
Description: bacterial SSU rRNA
Rfam family: Bacterial small subunit ribosomal RNA
Source: RNAcentral